Molecule: ribosomal RNA, 1488 nt
Filed under: uncultured bacterium
Lineage: Bacteria
Description: bacterial SSU rRNA
Rfam family: Bacterial small subunit ribosomal RNA
Source: RNAcentral
AGAGUUUGAUCCUGGCUCAGGAUGAACGCUAGCGGGAGGCUUAACACAUGCAAGUCGAGGGGCAGCACGAUGUAGCGAUACGUUGGUGGCGACCGGCGCACGGGUGAGUAACGCGUAUGCAACCUACCCUGUACAGGGGGAUAGCCCGGAGAAAUUCGGACUAAUACCCCAUAAAGAUAUAAAGAGGCAUCUUUUUAUAUUUAAAGUUUCGGCGGUACGGGAUGGGCAUGCGGAACAUUAGCUAGUUGGCGGGGUAACGGCCCACCAAGACGAUGAUGCGUAGCCGACCUGAGAGGGUGACCGGCCACACUGGUACUGAGACACGGACCAGACUCCUACGGGAGGCAGCAGUGAGGAAUAUUGGUCAAUGGGCGCAAGCCUGAACCAGCCAUCCCGCGUGCAGGAUGACGGCCCUAUGGGUUGUAAACUGCUUUUAUACACCAAGAAAAAUCCCCACGUGUGGGGACCCGACGGUAGUGUAUGAAUAAGCAUCGGCUAACUCCGUGCCAGCAGCCGCGGUAAUACGGAGGAUGCAAGCGUUAUCCGGAUUCAUUGGGUUUAAAGGGUGCGUAGGCGGCUUUUUAAGUCAGUGGUGAAAUCCUGCCGCUUAACGGUAGAAUUGCCAUUGAUACUGAAAAGCUUGAGUAUGGUUGAGGUAGGUGGAAUGUGUUGUGUAGCGGUGAAAUGCAUAGAUAUGACACAGAACGCCGAUUGCGAAGGCAGCUUACUAAGCCAUUACUGACGCUGAGGCACGAAAGCGUGGGGAUCGAACAGGAUUAGAUACCCUGGUAGUCCACGCCGUAAACGAUGUUCACUCGCUGUUUGCGAUACACAGUAAGCGGCUGAGCGAAAGCAUUAAGUGAACCACCUGGGGAGUACGAUCGCAAGGUUGAAACUCAAAGGAAUUGACGGGGGCCCGCACAAGCGGAGGAACAUGUGGUUUAAUUCGAUGAUACGCGAGGAACCUUACCUGGGCUUAAAUGUAGAUUGCAUGAGGUGGAAACACUUCUUCCCUUCGGGGCUAUUUACAAGGUGCUGCAUGGUUGUCGUCAGCUCGUGCCGUGAGGUGUCGGGUUAAGUCCCAUAACGAGCGCAACCCCUAUCGUUAGUUGCCAGCGGAUAAUGCCGGGGACUCUAAGGAGACUGCCGGUGUCAAACCGGAGGAAGGUGGGGAUGACGUCAAAUCAGCACGGCCCUUAUGUCCAGGGCGACACACGUGCUACAAUGGCCGAUACAAAGGGCAGCUACCAGGUGACUGGAUGCGAAUCUCAAAAACCUGUCUCAGUUCGGAUCGGAGUCUGCAACUCGACUCCGUGAAGUCGGAUUCGCUAGUAAUCGCGCAUCAGCCAUGGCGCGGUGAAUACGUUCCCGGGCCUUGUACACACCGCCCGUCAAGCCAUGGAAGUUGGGGGUGCCUAAAGUUCGUGACCGCAAGGAGCGACCUAGGGUAAAACCAAUGACUGGGGCUAAGUCGUAACAAGGUAACCA